This is a long non-coding RNA of Eptesicus fuscus (big brown bat), 1129 nucleotides long. RefSeq lists it as uncharacterized. The record is from RefSeq and is a predicted model, not a curated record. NCBI's taxonomy places the organism in Eukaryota, Metazoa, Chordata, Mammalia, Chiroptera, Vespertilionidae. The transcript is spliced from 6 exons.
UUGCAGCAGAAACACCCUGCUAAAGAACAAGUAUCUUGGUUCACAGCAAAGAGGACAAAGAAAAACAGCAAGUUAUAGAGGGUUGAAUGCUGGAUUGAAUCAAAGACAAAGGCUCACCAGCAUGUCACGGAAGGAUGGACUCAGGAAUGAAGCAGAUUCAGCGGCACCUCCUGAAAGUAAUGAUGAAGCACUGACUCAUGUAACGUCUCGCUGCACUGGCUCGAGCAGAUUCUCUGCAAAUACUACCACUGCUGAGGCAAUGUUACUGUGAGAGAAUAGAAAAUUAUUAUUCCAAAGGGAUUUGAAGACUGACUGAAUCAGGUCUGGAACAUUAUUGAAAUGACGCAGGAAGAAGCAGAAUCCACCCCAGGGAAGAAAGUUUAAUGAAGGGAUGACUUCCUGAAUUAGGGAACAAAAAAUGUAUUAGACAACAAGAAAGAAGCAACAGAAGAAGCCAGUAUUGCUCCUUGGUCUAAAAGGAAAGUGAGAAAAUGGUUUUUCUGAAAUCAGAGAACUUGAACAGUGAGGAGGGGCUACCAGAGACUCACCAAGGAAGAGAUGCUAAGGCGAAUUUUCAAGAUAAAUUGGUUUUGGGGGAUACUUAUUCAUUCAGUUAUGCAUGGCCACUGUUUAUUCUUUAUUCUAUAAAUAACAUUGGGGAUAGACCCAUAUGACAUUGGACACAAAUGGAUAAUCAACAGAAGAAUUGGUCAACAAAGAUGAAAGUACCCUGGAGAGACAAGUGAUAGCAGAUGAAAUGAACAUAAUGGAGCUGUAGAAGAAAUAGCUGACUGUGGGAAUGUUGACAUGGGCCCAGUUGAGAGACUGUGGAUAUGUAGCCAGAGGAACUUAGUGCAAGUGAAUUUAUUUACAUAAAUCGGGCAAGAGGUUGUGAUAAAAAGGAUAAAGCUGCUCUAGAGAAAGUGACUUCACAUUGAGAGAACUCUCGGAGAUAGUUAGAUAUUUUACAAUAUUGAAAAUAUGAAGGUUAAAAUGUUUGAAGCUGAUCAAAACUUAGAAAGCACCAUGACAAUGCCCCGAAGCAGGAAAGAUGCUUUUUUUGUAUCUUAAGUUAUACAAUGACAAAGAGAAGGCAAGCACUGUUUAAACUAUUCUUGUUUGAAAGUAC